AGCUCGUAGGCGGUCUGUCGCGUCGGCUGUGAAAACCCGAGGCUCAACCUCGGGCCUGCAGUCGAUACGGGCAAACUAGAGUACUGCAGGGGAGACUGGAAUUCCUGGUGUAGCGGUGAAAUGCGCAGAUAUCAGGAGGAACACCGGUGGCGAAGGCGGGUCUCUGGGCAGUAACUGACGCUGAGGAGCGAAAGCGUGGGGAGCGAACAGGAUUAGAUACCCUGGUAGUCCACGCCGUAAACGUUGGGCGCUAGAUGUGGGGCUCAUUCCACGAGUUCCGUGUCGCAGCUAACGCAUUAAGCGCCCCGCCUGGGGAGUACGGCCGCAAGGCUAAAACUCAAAGGAAUUGACUGGGGCCCGCACAAGCGGCGGAGCAUGUUGCUUAAUUCGAUGCAACGCGAAGAACCUUACCUAGGCUUGACAUGCACGGAAAUCUCCCAGAGAUGGGAGGUCCUUUAAAGGGUCGUGCACAGGUGGUGCAUGGUUGUCGUCAGCUCGUGUCGUGAGAUGUUGGGUUAAGUCCCGCAACGAGCGCAACCCUCGUUCUAUGUUGCCAGCACGUCAUGGUGGGGACUCAUAGGAGACUGCCGGGGUCAACUCGGAGGAAGGUGGGGAUGACGUCAAAUCAUCAUGCCCCUUAUGUCUAGGGCUGCAAACAUGCUACAAUGGCCGGUACAAAGGGCUGCGAUACCGCGAGGUGGAGCGAAUCCCAAAAAGCCGGUCUCAGUUCGGAUUGGGGUCUGCAACUCGACCCCAUGAAGUUGGAGUCGCUAGUA
RNAcentral lists this ribosomal RNA (776 nucleotides) under uncultured bacterium. Its description in RNAcentral is "bacterial SSU rRNA". It matches the Rfam family "Bacterial small subunit ribosomal RNA", at positions 566 to 1340 of the family's 1533-position model. The record is from RNAcentral.